This 491-nucleotide ribosomal RNA is filed under the name uncultured bacterium. Its description in RNAcentral is "bacterial SSU rRNA". It matches the Rfam family "Bacterial small subunit ribosomal RNA", at positions 28 to 523 of the family's 1533-position model. The record is from RNAcentral.
GACGAACGCUGGCGGCGUGCCUAACACAUGCAAGUCGAGCGGAGAAUGCGGACAUGUUUACAUGGAAGUGUUCUUAGCGGCGGACGGGUGAGUAACACGUAGGGAACCUACCUAUACGACGAGGAUAACUACUGGAAACGGUAGCUAAAACUGGAUAGGAUCAAUUGAGGCAUCUUGAUUGAUUUAAAGAUCCUUCGGGAUUACGUAGAGAUGGCCCUGCGGCGCAUUAGCUAGUUGGUGAGGUAACGGCCCACCAAGGCGACGAUGCGUAGCUGAGCUGAGAGGCUAAACAGCCACACUGGGACUGAGACACGGCCCAGACUCCUACGGGAGGCAGCAGUAGGGAAUUUUCGGCAAUGGGGGAAACCCUGACCGAGCAAUGCCGCGUGAACGAUGAAGGUCUUCGGGUCGUAAAGCUCUGUCCUAUGGGAAGAUAAUGACGGUACCAUAGGAGGAAGCCCCGGCUAACUACGUGCCAGCAGCCGCGGUAA